UGACAAGCAAAGAAUAUCUUUUUUGUAAGAUAUUUUUAAUGAGGGUCUCAACAUUUGUAAGUGUCAAACCACUGACAAGGGCCAGUGCAACGGCUGUAAAUGGCAACAAGAAUUAAAACUUCAUUAAGAAUUAUAACCUUAUUUUGAUGGAAAUGCGACGGAAAUGUACAGACAAUUACGGGAAAACUGUGUGUGUGUGUGUGUGUUACUCUUGGUCUACGGCAGAUGGCAUUAUCAAUGACAGCUGCUUAUGGUCCAAGCUCAAUAAUGGAUCGACCCCCUAUAUAGUGCAGUACAUAGUGAGUACGCCAUUUUGUGCUGUUCAAAUGUCUAGUGGGAAUUAUUAUACCCUAUAUAGUGGACCCAAAGUAUCCCACAAUGCAUCACGAAAAGUAUAGUACAACCGAUGGUCAUUAACCAAGUAAUAUUUUCCAUCAUGCAUUGCACUGAGACAUAAACAACCGCUGCUGAGGUAUGACAUUUCAACUAUGUGACAGCAGUUAACGUAAUUAACGGCAUCUGAGCAGCGUCCAAAAGUGCUUUUUUCUUUCUGCCGAUGAGCUCCCUAUAUAGUCCACUAUGUUGGACUCCCUAUGUAGUGACUAGGGAGCAGGGAAUGGACGCUGAAUUGAAGCUAAAUGGAUCAGCCAUCAGUGAUUUAUGAUCUACACCUGUGCCUUUUACAUUGAAAAUGCCUGCCUGCACAGUCCCACUGUGCUGAUAAGAUGACUUAUUAGCCCACAAACUGAAAAAAAAAAAACUGUGUGGGUGAAUUAAGACUGAGCGAGGACUCAUUUCUGUUGUAAUGAUCUGUUUUUAGUCAUAAACAAGCCUACAUUAAAUACACAUUUAUCCUU
This is a long non-coding RNA of Acanthopagrus latus (yellowfin seabream), 857 nucleotides long. RefSeq lists it as uncharacterized. The record is from RefSeq and is a predicted model, not a curated record. NCBI's taxonomy places the organism in Eukaryota, Metazoa, Chordata, Actinopteri, Spariformes, Sparidae. The transcript is spliced from 2 exons.